RNAcentral lists this ribosomal RNA (629 nucleotides) under uncultured Thelephoraceae. RNAcentral's name for it is "eukaryotic LSU rRNA". The stretch from base 214 to 368 matches the Rfam family "5.8S ribosomal RNA". The record is from RNAcentral. Lineage: Eukaryota; Fungi; Basidiomycota; Agaricomycetes; Thelephorales; Thelephoraceae.
GAAGGAUCAUUACCGAAUUGUCAACACGAGUUGUUGCUGGUCCUCAAAUGGGGGCAUGUGCACGCUCUGUUUGCACAUCCACUCACACCUGUGCACCCUCCGUAGUUCUGCAGCCUGGGGGCUCUGUCCCCCUGCUGUGGUUCUAUGUAUUUACACACACACACUGUAAUAAAGUCUCAUGGAAUGUAUGCCGCGUUUAACGCAAUACAAUACAACUUUCAGCAACGGAUCUCUUGGCUCUCGCAUCGAUGAAGAACGCAGCGAAAUGCGAUAAGUAAUGUGAAUUGCAGAAUUCAGUGAAUCAUCGAAUCUUUGAACGCACCUUGCACCCUUUGGCUAUUCCGAAGGGUAUGCCUGUUUGAGUAUCAUGAACACCUCAACUCUCAUGGUUUGCCAUGAUGAGCUUGGACUUUGGGGGUCUUGCUGGCCUGUGGUCAGCUCCUCUCAAAUGGAUUAGCUUGCCAGUGUUUGGUGGCAUCACAGGUGUGAUAACUAUCUACGCUUGUGGUUUUCCACCAGGUAACCUUCAGCAAUGGGGGUUCGCUGGGGCUCAUAAAUGUCUCUCCUCAGUGAGGACAGCUCUUUGAACGUUUGAUCUCAAAUCAGGUAGGACUACCCGCUGAACUUAA